Molecule: ribosomal RNA, 248 nt
Filed under: uncultured Pseudomonas sp.
Lineage: Bacteria; Pseudomonadati; Pseudomonadota; Gammaproteobacteria; Pseudomonadales; Pseudomonadaceae
Description: partial 16S ribosomal RNA
Rfam family: Bacterial small subunit ribosomal RNA
Source: RNAcentral
CACUCUAAGGAGACUGCCGGUGACAAACCGGAGGAAGUGGGGAUGACGUCAAGUCAUCCAUGGCCCUUACGGCCUGGGCUACACACGUGCUACGAAUGGUCGGUACAAAGGGUUGCCAAGCCGCGAGGUGGAGCUAAUCCCAAUAAACCGAUCGUAGUCCGGAUCGCAGUCUGCAACUCGACUGCGUGAAGUCGGAAUCGCUAGUAAUCGUGAAUCAGAAUGUCACGGUGAAUACGUUCCCGGGCCUU